AGUGAACGCUGGCGGUAGGCCUAACACAUGCAAGUCGAACGGCAGCACAGUAAGAGCUUGCUCUUACGGGUGGCGAGUGGCGGACGGGUGAGGAAUACAUCGGAAUCUACUUUUUCGUGGGGGAUAACGUAGGGAAACUUACGCUAAUACCGCAUACGACCUACGGGUGAAAGCAGGGGAUCUUCGGACCUUGCGCGAAUGAAUGAGCCGAUGUCGGAUUAGCUAGUUGGCGGGGUAAAGGCCGACCAAGGCGACGAUCCGUAGCUGGUCUGAGAGGAUGAGCAGCCACACUGGAACGGGGACACGGUCCGCACUCCUACGGGAGGCAGCAGUGGGGAAUAUUGGACGAUGGGCGCAGGCCUGAUGAAGCCAAACCGCGGGGGUGAAGAAGGCCUUCGGGUUGUAAAGCCCUUUUGUUGGGGAAGAAAGGAAGCAGGUUAAAACAGGGCUGUUCUGACGGUACCCAAAGAAUAAGCACCGGCUAACUUCGUG
RNAcentral lists this ribosomal RNA (492 nucleotides) under uncultured bacterium. Its description in RNAcentral is "partial 16S ribosomal RNA". It matches the Rfam family "Bacterial small subunit ribosomal RNA", at positions 29 to 507 of the family's 1533-position model. The record is from RNAcentral.